RNAcentral lists this long non-coding RNA (578 nucleotides) under Coturnix japonica (Japanese quail). RNAcentral's name for it is "lncRNA (ENSCJPG00005013828.1)". The record is from RNAcentral. Lineage: Eukaryota; Metazoa; Chordata; Aves; Galliformes; Phasianidae.
UCUCAUGUAUCCAAGACAAGUUUGCACUGUUGAGCUGUAUAAAAAUUAACCUUUACUCCUGGCAGGAGGUUUACAAAAAGUUGUGGUAAAGAUGAUGCAGGCUCUGUUUAUCUGUUUGUUUUCAGAUAUGGAAGAUUUGAAAUGCUGCUCCUUCGCUUCUUGAUGUAGAUCUCUCCUCAAGCACUGUGUGUGACUCUUCCCCUUAAAACUUGGAGCACUGCAUAAAUUCUGCUGGUCAGACAGUGAUUUCAAAAGGUUGAAUUGUGUAAAAACGUUAAGAUGGAUGUGACUCUGGAAGCUGGUGUAUCUUUGUGCGCCAAUAGAAUCAGUGAGUGAUAUGUGCCACAGCUGUAAUACUGAUAAUGUGCCAAGGUAGAGGAUGUGAAUAAAGAAAAAUAUCAUGUACGUCAUAAAUAUGAUUCCUUAGAAGGAACAGCCACAGGCGUACCGUGGAAAAGAUUUAUGCAAGUGAUUACAGCUCCAUAUUCAGAGAAUCUGAAUAAAGGAAGCAAAGAGGAGCUCUUCAGAUGGCCUUCUCCAGUAUGUAAGUAUGGAGACUAACAAAGAUUCAUAGCACC